This 468-nucleotide ribosomal RNA is filed under the name uncultured bacterium. RNAcentral's name for it is "partial 16S ribosomal RNA". It matches the Rfam family "Bacterial small subunit ribosomal RNA", at positions 28 to 507 of the family's 1533-position model. The record is from RNAcentral.
GACGAACGCUGGCGGCGUGCUUAACACAUGCAAGUCGAACGGAAAGGCCCUGCUUUUGUGGGUUGCUCGAGUGGCGAACGGGUGAGUAACACGUGAGUAACCUGCCCUUGACUGUGGGAUAACUUCAGGAAACUGGGGCUAAUACCGGAUAGGAGCUCCUGCUGCAUGGUGUGGGUUGGAAAGUUUCGGCGGUUGGGGAUGGACUCGCGGCUUAUCAGCUUGUUGGUGGGGUAGUGGCUUACCAAGGCUUUGACGGGUAGCCGGCCUGAGAGGGUGACCGGCCACAUUGGGACUGCGAUACGGCCCAGACUCCUACGGGAGGCAGCAGUGGGGAAUAUUGCACAAUGGGCGGAAGCCUGAUGCAGCAACGCCGCGUGCGGGAUGACGGCCUUCGGGUUGUAAACCGCUUUCGCCUGUGACGAAGCGUGAGUGACGGUAAUGGGUAAAGAAGCACCGGCUAACUACGUG